Molecule: long non-coding RNA, 2574 nt
Organism: Gymnodraco acuticeps
Lineage: Eukaryota; Metazoa; Chordata; Actinopteri; Perciformes; Bathydraconidae
Exons: 2
Source: RefSeq, a predicted model, not a curated record
AGCAGGAGAGAGGACUCUUUAAAGUAGAGACACUACAUACUGAUAUACACCUGAACAUCAGCAGGAGAGGGACUCUUUAAAGUAGAGACACUACACACUGAUAUGAACCUGAGAAUAGCGUCAUAGGCCCCUAAUACAACUAAGACGUCACACAUUGAUCUUCUGACCCUUUACGAACUCUCUAAAUACACAAUUUUUCACAUAAGAUCUCACUGAAUUCUCCCCGGGUGAGCUCUGGUUUAACUUACAUUACUACUGUUAGAACCCUUUUGCCUCAGCUCUGGUUUGGAAACACUUUCUCCCUCUCCUGUUCACACUCAUUGACUCUAACACACCUUUGCCAACAAGCCUUAACAAGGUCACAGAUUUCUUAAACCCUUGCUGACACACUGCGGCCCCCCCCUCACCGACACACUGCCACAGUGCUGUGGGCUUUUUGCCAGACUCUUCAGCUGCCCCCAUGUCCAGGAGGACGAAGAGCAGGUGUGUGAGGCAGAUCCCGACGACUCUACGUUCGAUUUGGAGAAAACGGAGGAGGGGUUCGGAUCUGAAGGAGGUGAUUGUGGAUCAGCUCACCAAGAAGACCUGCUGGAGGGAGAUCUGGGACUCGGCACCGAUCCUCCUGCUAUCACCUGAAGCUGCAGGAUUCACCUCCAAUCCUAUACCUGCCCUGAGGAAAUGUCCAUGAGUGGGGUCAUCUGAGAGGAGCCAAUCGGGAGUCAGUAGCCUCCCGAAAAAAAGGUCAUGCACUCCUCUUGUUCUGACGCGCAUGCAAAGACACACUCGGGGAGAAAUGACUUCCUGCUGCACUGCUUUGGCUCCAGUUAAGGAAUUUAAUAGAUCCUGCUUUUUAAGUGUGUGCUCGCUCGGUCUACUUUUCACACAGAAAACACACUUUAAAUUCCAGUACAGCAGCUCGAAGCUUUACAGUUAGGUCUUUGCUUCUGGCUUUUUGGGGACAAUUACUUAUGAAUAUCUGCUGUGAUUGAAAGCCACUGUAUUUCCCUUAAUAAGCAGAAAUGGUAUUUGCGUGCCAACCUCCCUAACUCCUUAUUAAACUUGUAUUGCACUGUUUUCCGCUACAAUCCUUUAACUGAUUCAAAAUGUUUAUUUAUCACCACUUGCUUAUCAUGGGCUAGAAGACCUCCAGAGUGUAUUAACAGCAUUUGGCAAAGAAGCCGAUUAAACAUGUGAGCAUUUUCUCUGACUUCUUUAUAGAUUGCUCUUUGCUGCUUCCUCAGUGAGUCAUUAUAAAUCUCUGGGGCUACCACCCCCCGCCCCCCCUUUGUGUGAGGCGGGGUGUGUUGUGUAAAGCACAAAUCAAUCUGUGUGUGAAUAUGCAAACUGUUUCCCUCGCAUUAAUAAUAACGCCAUUGUCCUUGAACUUUAACUGAGGCACUGUCUAUGUUGUGAUGUGAAUGCAUGGCUGCAAUCGUUGGAAUGCUGCUCCGUUUCACUCCCUCAAUGGCUGCAAGAAAAAUACAUGCAGUGUCCUUCGUUUUCUACUUGAUUAUAAGAGCGAAGCACCCUCAAUUUACAUCCUUAAAGGAGCCGGUCCUCUUAGAUUUCUCGUCUAAUUUGACUAGUUUUGCUGUGUUUUUGAUCUAUUACCUGAUCAUCCCAACGCAAUGCACAAUAACACAUUCUGUCGGUGAUGAUCUAAAUAUCGAAACAUACAAAUUUGACAUUUUAAAAAUCAAGUGCAGUGUCAGCGCCCAGCGGAGAAACGAGGGCUUGCAAUAGUUCUGAGCUUUUCAUAAAUCAUUUUUGGGCACUUUGAGUAUUGCAAAACCGAAUGUUACUGAGCUGUUUUACUGAAGCGAGAUCAAAUCUGUAAAUCUCAGCGCUCGCAUUGAAAUCUGGAUUGAGUAGGUGGUGGAAAUUCAGCUUUGUUAGACUUUUACCUUUGCAUUCAAGUCAUUUGAUAAAAGUGUAUUUCCCUUUUUGAGCCGAUUUGUCAGAGUGAAUAAUGAAUACAGUAUUUCUAAUUAUUAGGAAGCACACUUUACGACACGUACUUAAAGGCACCCUGUGGAGUUUUUGACCACUAGAAUCAUUAAAGAGGAACAUUGUUUUGGUUCCUUUGUUUGUUUUCGUUCUCACAAAUGCUUAUGCGUGCUAUGAGCCUUUCUACUGAAGUGAAAGCAGCUGUUAAUCACAAGAAAGGCAUCAGCAAAUGCAGACUGCUAGAAAUGAAACAUCGACUUAAACCAGUAAAAUAUGAAUUAAACACCUAUCGCUUAGACCUCCAGAAUACACACAUUUUUGUGGGUGAGAAACGCUGAUGGUAGAAAAUGUGUUUACAGUAAAACUUCACAGGGGGCCUUUAAGUUAUGUAGGCUAAUAGCAACACAUGUGUGACAUUACUCCUGCACUAUGGUUCUCAAAUGGUGAGGAAAGGCACUGGAAAAAGGAAAAAUCUUUGUUAUUAAAAUAUAUGUUAAUAGCAUAUCUUGUUAACAACAGUAUUGAUUACAUCCAGUAUUAUGCUUUUGGUGGUUUUCCCUUUCCCUGUAGUGUGUUUUUUGUGUAUGUAAAUGAGACAAAUAAAGAGCUUUUUGAGCAUUAAAGCAA